GGGGUUGUGGCUCAGCGGUAGAGUGCUUACCCAGCACGAGUGGGGCCCUGGGUUUGAUCCUCAGCACCACA
This 71-nucleotide transfer RNA is filed under the name Marmota monax (woodchuck). Its description in RNAcentral is "tRNA.Ala". The record is from RNAcentral. Lineage: Eukaryota; Metazoa; Chordata; Mammalia; Rodentia; Sciuridae.